AAAGAGGAUGAGAACCUCCGAAGGAGGUUUGAGCCGAGCGAAGCGAGACAACGUUGCUUUAGCAACGGCCCGCAGGGCAAGCAUCGCAGAUGCGCGUCAUCCUCUCUCGCCGAC
RNAcentral lists this small RNA (114 nucleotides) under Rahnella variigena. RNAcentral describes it as "RtT RNA". It matches the Rfam family "RtT RNA", at positions 15 to 128 of the family's 130-position model. From Rfam's summary of the family: This family represents a bacterial cis-regulatory element known as RtT RNA. The exact function of RtT is unknown although it is thought that it may be involved in changing the cellular response in relation to amino acid starvation. Lineage: Bacteria; Pseudomonadati; Pseudomonadota; Gammaproteobacteria; Enterobacterales; Yersiniaceae. The record is from RNAcentral.